AAACAAUUCAGUCUUUCUCCAAAACCAAGUGAGAGUAAGGAAAAUGGUGCAGAGGGAAACACACCGAGAAAGGUACAGAGGAUGAUUUUUGUGACAGAAUAAUGUGUGAGAUAUCAACAGAGACAUCUUCCAAAUGUACACACUGGUGUGGUGUCUAGAGUCUCAAAGGUCUUGGCUGUUAAAAUAGACGAAGUUGCCCUCUUGAUGAAAGACAAGAGACUUGCUGUGAAUGCUUGUGUUCCUGAAAUAGUUUAUAUCAUCUGCUACCCUUUAUGAGGCAUUUCAGAAAUGAAGAAAUCAAUUUU
Molecule: long non-coding RNA, 305 nt
Filed under: Chinchilla lanigera (long-tailed chinchilla)
Lineage: Eukaryota; Metazoa; Chordata; Mammalia; Rodentia; Chinchillidae
Description: lncRNA (ENSCLAG00000022544.1)
Source: RNAcentral